UGCGAGUCAAUGGGUUUGUCUAAACCCAUGGGCGCAAUGAAAGUGAAUAAAAAAGCUGAGGUAGUGUAAAUAAGCUACCUGGAGAAGGGCUGAUCCCUGGCCGGACGCCGACCACCGUGCAAAGGGUAGUCGUGAGCGCUCUGUACUGCUACCGUGAGUUAUUUUCCGGAGCUCUACACUACGUGACGACAAUGAAAUCCCUACACAAACGGAACGCCAAGGCCUAAAACUCAAACCUUAAUUGGAUGAUAGAGGGGGCGCAAGCCCGGGACAUGUAUAUGACAAAAAGUUUGUACUAUCUAAAGAGUUUGAUUGAGACUUGUUCUCUUCUUCUUUUUGGUUUAGUUCAAAAGAUGACACCUACUGCUACAACCCUUUACGGGGAAGUAGUAAUAAAAAAAGAACACAAUGCUCUCUCGCAUAUAAUAAACACCUCUGUAUGGAAUUCCUCCCUCGUUUGGAGUUUUAAAUGUAUCUAUACACGUGUUUUGAGAGUUUAAAAGCGUGUUCGGUGUCAUAGUACAUGUACCUUGAGCAUACAUGUUAGUACCCGAAAGAUGGUGAACUAUGCCUGGCCAGGAUGAAGUCAGAGGAAACUCUGAUGGAGGUCCGAAACGAUUCUGACGUGCAAAUCGAUCGUCAGAGCUGGGUAUAGGGGCGAAAGACUAAUCGAACUAUCUAGUAGCUGGUUCCCUCUGAAGUUUCCCUCAGGAUAGCUGGUACUCGAGGUUGAAAUGAGGAUUUGUAUCCGGUAAAGCGAAUGAUUAGAGGGUUUGGGGACGAAAAGUCCUCAACCUAUUCUCAAACUUUAAAUGGAUAUUGUGGUCAAGCUUGCUUAAAUGAUGAAGCUUGUACCCAAAAUCAAUGAGUGCUUAGUGGGCCAUUUUU
RNAcentral lists this ribosomal RNA (888 nucleotides) under Fennerogalathea ensifera. RNAcentral describes it as "partial 28S ribosomal RNA". It matches the Rfam family "Eukaryotic large subunit ribosomal RNA", at positions 685 to 1138 of the family's 3401-position model. The record is from RNAcentral. Lineage: Eukaryota; Metazoa; Arthropoda; Malacostraca; Decapoda; Galatheidae.